This 66-nucleotide transfer RNA is filed under the name Gemmiger qucibialis. It matches the Rfam family "tRNA", at positions 5 to 66 of the family's 71-position model. From Rfam's summary of the family: Transfer RNA (tRNA) molecules are approximately 80 nucleotides in length. RNAcentral also lists the same sequence under 1 other name. The record is from RNAcentral. Lineage: Bacteria; Bacillati; Bacillota; Clostridia; Eubacteriales; Oscillospiraceae.
UGGUAGCUCAGCUGGAUAGAGUGUCUGACUACGAAUCAGAAGGCCGGGGGUUCGAGUCCCUUCCAG